GUAACGUUUCAGUAUUCCGGCAUUAGUAUGUCUCACAAUAGUUAUUAUACUUCAAUAUUAUUCUGUACAUCGUUAAUGCCGUUACUAACUGCUAACAUCGUAGUGAAUGGGGAUCAGCAAGUCUAGAAAAAGACGGCGAUGUUUGAAACCUACAUGGAACAGGUAUUGGAGAUACUACUUCACUAGACCGAAACAUCGAGUAUGGCGGAGAGUAUGAGACCUAUUCCUAUACUGGUUUGGUGAAAUCAGGCGAACGCGGCAGCCAUACCAUGGCGAACUGUAUGCGCAGCAUAGCGUUGCGGCGGGCGGCGGUGUUAUGUACAUAAUGCCUAAGGAAUGUGAGUUUAAAAAGGAGUGAACGACCCACAAGAUGUCGACCAUGGCAACUGCUUCAACUUCAAAGUUACUAUUUAAGGGUAUGGCGUAUCGAGCCACACACUGUAACACUACAAGAAGAAUGUUUUUCUUAAAUAAAGUGCUACCACAUUAAAACCGACUUUUAUUUUGA
Non-coding RNA from Spodoptera litura, 508 nucleotides. NCBI's taxonomy places the organism in Eukaryota, Metazoa, Arthropoda, Insecta, Lepidoptera, Noctuidae. The record is from RefSeq and is a predicted model, not a curated record.